GAUGAACGCUGGCGGCGUGCCUAAUACAUGCAAGUCGAGCGAACAGACGAGGAGCUUGCUCCUCUGACGUUAGCGGCGGACGGGUGAGUAACACGUGGAUAACCCACCUAUAAGACUGGGAUAACCUCGGGAAACCGGAGCUAAUACCGGAUAAUAUCUUGAACCGCAUGGUUCAAUAGUGAAAGACGGUUUUGCUGUCACGUAUAGAUGGAUCCGCGCCGCAUUAGCUAGUUGGGAAGUUAACGGCUUACCAAGGCAACGAUGCGUAGCCGACCUGAGAGGGUGUUCCGCCACACUGGAGGUUACACGCUCACCAGACUCCUAAGGGAGGCAGCAGUACGGACUUUGGCGCCAUGGUCGAGAGCCUGACGGAGCAACGCGGCGUGGGAGCUGAUGGUCUUCCGAUCGUAAAACUUGGCUGUUGGGGACCAACAAAUGUGUAAUGAACCACGCCCGUAUUGACGGUACCUGCUCAGAAAGCAACGGCUAACUACGUG
RNAcentral lists this ribosomal RNA (497 nucleotides) under uncultured bacterium. Its description in RNAcentral is "partial 16S ribosomal RNA". It matches the Rfam family "Bacterial small subunit ribosomal RNA", at positions 28 to 507 of the family's 1533-position model. The record is from RNAcentral.